AGUGGUUGAUCGUGAGUUUUAUGGUGAGGAUAUGAGCAAUUCAAAUCCUUUUCCGGCUCUCGAGACGCUGCACAUUGAGGACAUGUAUGAAUGGGAAGAGUGGAAGAUUUGUGGGUAUGAAUUCCCUCAUCUGCGCGAACUUUCUAUUGUUAGGUGUCCCAAACUGGUGGGAACAUUGCCCAGCCAUUUGUAUUCAUUGCAAAAGCUUGAUAUUAUAGAAUGUUGUGAAUUGGUGGUUUCAUUGGGAAGCCUUCCGGUGAUAUCUCGCUUACGCUUAGUAAUCAAUGGAUGCAGAAAGGUUGAACUGGGUGGAGGCUUUAGCUCGGCAAACAUCUUGAAUGUAACGGGACCAUUUUUAUUUCGACCAGAAGAGUUAAGAAAGUUAGAAAGAUUAACUAUUGGUUCUAAUUUAAUUAUCGGAUAUUCCUCUGAUCUGCAUUGAGAGCUUGAUGAGGGCAUCGCUGAAAAUGAAGA
Molecule: unclassified non-coding RNA, 474 nt
Filed under: Hevea brasiliensis (rubber tree)
Lineage: Eukaryota; Viridiplantae; Streptophyta; Magnoliopsida; Malpighiales; Euphorbiaceae
Source: RNAcentral